Raphanus sativus (radish) is the source of this 494-nucleotide long non-coding RNA. RefSeq lists it as uncharacterized. The transcript has 3 exons. The record is from RefSeq and is a predicted model, not a curated record. Lineage: Eukaryota; Viridiplantae; Streptophyta; Magnoliopsida; Brassicales; Brassicaceae.
UUUGUUUUCUCUCGAGAGACUGGAAGAAAAAAAAAGAAAGACAGAGACUUGUAUCUAUGUCUGAAAUUUUCACUCGUUUUUUUUUCUUUCCUUUUUAUUGAUAUCAAAGGUGGACUGCAAAUCUGAACUAGUGCAGGUAUACUAUAUGGUUCAGAAAAUUAGGAGACAUGGUGGUCAGGUGGUGACGUUGCCUCACACAACCUUUUUCUCUUCUGCGUCGAAACCAAAUUUUCAGGGAACAGAGUCGUCCAACCAAUCCGCAUCGUAUUUCAGAAAAAAGAGCUUUCAAGUUUACUUUGGUUCGAAGGAUGUUCACAUGGGAUCGGUCCACGUCCAUGAUUCUUUAGACCUUUUUCGGAGCUUUGUAACUUUCUUUAUUCUCUGCACACGAUAAUGACCACUUUUUACUAUUUUCACUCACUCUCAUGGACCCUAUUUUCCCUUUUUAUUACUGUUAGGUCUCAUUUUAGAAGUCUUUCCUUUUCAAAAUUGAA